AUGGCUGCGAUUCGUUUUCCGUGCUACAAACCAAUUUGGAAGUCAAAGGCACCGCCUCGCUGUCGGUUCUUCAUGUGGCUCGUUGUGCAUAGGCGCUGCCUCAUGGCAGACAAUCUGGCGGAACCGGAGGACUGCACACAUCUUUUUGUGCAUUGCAGAUAUACGCAGCACCUAUGGAGCAUCUUCAGGCAAUGGACGGGAGAGCACUUCUCCAUUCCUGAUGACACUUGCAGUACCACGGAGGAGUGGUGGCUGUCGGCAAGAAAAAGAAUCCCCAAGAAGGACAGGCGCAAUUUCGACACCAUUGCUAUCCUGGUACAUUGGAGGAUCUGGAAGGAGCGGAAUGCAAGGAUUUUUCAGCACAUUGCCAGCAGCGCCAACAGAGUCCUUGAUCUGAUCCAUGAGGAUAUUGCUGUGUGGAGAGCAGCUGGUUGUGUCGUAGAGCUCUCUGCUUGA
RNAcentral lists this ribosomal RNA (456 nucleotides) under Triticum aestivum (bread wheat). RNAcentral describes it as "partial small subunit ribosomal RNA". The record is from RNAcentral. Lineage: Eukaryota; Viridiplantae; Streptophyta; Magnoliopsida; Poales; Poaceae.